Molecule: transfer RNA, 72 nt
Filed under: Pyricularia grisea
Lineage: Eukaryota; Fungi; Ascomycota; Sordariomycetes; Magnaporthales; Pyriculariaceae
Description: tRNA-Lys
Rfam family: tRNA
About the family: Transfer RNA (tRNA) molecules are approximately 80 nucleotides in length. Their secondary structure includes four short double-helical elements and three loops (D, anti-codon, and T loops).
Source: RNAcentral
AGGGUCUUAGCAUAAUGGUAAUGCAUAUGACUUUUAAUCAUUCUGAUUUGAGUUCAACUCUCGAAGGCCCUA